GAUGAACGCUAGCGGCAGGCCUAACACAUGCAAGUCGAGGGAGGAGCCUUCGGGCUUCGACCGGCGUACGGGUGCGUAACGCGUAUACAAUCUGCCUUUCACAUAGGGAUAGCCCGAAGAAAUUUGGAUUAAUACCUAAUGGUAUAUAGAUGUGGCAUCACCUUUAUAUUAAAGCUGAGGCGGUGAAAGAUGAGUAUGCGUUCUAUUAGCUAGUUGGAGAGGUAACGGCUCCCCGAGGCGACGAUAGAUAGGGGUUCUGAGAGGGAUAUCCCCCACACUGGUACUGAGAUACGGACCAGACUCCUACGGGAGGCAGCAGUGAGGAAUAUUGGACAAUGGUCGGAAGACUGAUCCAGCCAUGCCGCGUGCAGGAAGACGGCCUUAUGGGUUGUAAACUGCUUUUGCAGGGGAAGAAUAAGGACUACGCGUAGUUUGAUGACGGUACUCUGCGAAUAAGCAUCGGCUAACUCCGUG
RNAcentral lists this ribosomal RNA (474 nucleotides) under uncultured bacterium. RNAcentral's name for it is "partial 16S ribosomal RNA". It matches the Rfam family "Bacterial small subunit ribosomal RNA", at positions 28 to 507 of the family's 1533-position model. The record is from RNAcentral.